Molecule: long non-coding RNA, 2210 nt
Filed under: Homo sapiens (human)
Lineage: Eukaryota; Metazoa; Chordata; Mammalia; Primates; Hominidae
Description: HSALNT0380279
Source: RNAcentral
GUGCCUGAGUAAGCCCCAUGGGAACACAGCCGUGGUGGGAAGCAGCUUCCCAGCAGCCCUCCCCGCCAUCGGGAGAAUCCCCUGAGGCCAUGAGAGGGUCUCAGGGAGGUGGACGGCCCAUCAAGUGAGAACCGAGGGCACUGUGCACUCCUGAAUCCUAGGACUCCUCUUAGCUGUGUCUUGUCUCUACUUGGGGUACAAUUAAUAGCAGAGCCAGUCAUGUCCUACCAGCAUUCCUUUUAUACAGGCUGGAUAUAUGUGUCAUUGACUAACAACAUCAACAAUGAAAUGAAUCUGAGAAAACAGGAAAUUGAGAGCAAGAGAAAAAAAAGUUAAUUAUACUGAUUUUGUAUAAGACCCCUUUGAACACAUUUUUAAAAAAUCAAAUAGAAGGUGCCCAGGUCCACUGUGCCUUGUGAAUAUUUGUCUUGUAUAUCCUAGAGAUCUACGCAUUCAUGUGGGAAUUGAAAAGGACCCACAUUUUACUAGAAGCAUCGUUCAUUUUUGCCUCAAAACAAUGCCCACAUGUCAGAAGAACUUUCACAAUUCACAGGAACAGUGACCUAAUUAACCAACCAUAAAAUUGCCAAAUCCCUACUUCUCAUUGUUUAAUAUGCUUAGAAAACCCAUUCAAAUUGUGAAUUAUCAAGUGAGCUUACACUGAUAAAUAGAUCCAAUAUUUAGGAAUUUUUAAAUCUUCCAUUCCUUUUUUUUUUUUGUCUUUUUAAAAAUAGAACAUUAGAAUAUGUCCUCCAGGUUUUAGAGAUGGGGGAGACAUGCUUCCCUUUAUUUCUCAGUAACUCAGCCAAAAAAAAUCUGGAGAGAAUGCAAAGACAGCUACUGGAAACUUUGAAAAGUAGAUGUGAGCCCAUCAGGGAAGAGCUAGAGAAUCUGAAAUCUACUCGAAAAAGUGAGUUUGAUACUUUGUGUUCCUAUCCUAACUCCACACAGCCUGAAACUUGGAAGUGAGCAUGAUGGAGUGGAUACAGUGAGAUGCAGAAGAAAUCCUCCAGUUUGGGCUGGAAGGGAAAAAAGAGACCCCUAAAACUCAGAGACAGUGGAAGAAAUUCCUGGUGUUUUUUUCUUCUCUUUUUCUCUGUUCUUCCACAUAGCAAUUUAGUAUUGACUACAGCAUCUCUGUUACAAUGAUAGCACCGAAAUGUUGUAACCAUAUGGCCUGCAAAGCCAAAAAUACUUAUCUGACCAUCUACAGGAAAAGUUUGCUGAUCUGGAUGAAAUAUUCUGAUACUAAAUAUUCCAUUUUGAGGCUGAUAUUCCUAAUCUAUUCAUAAGGAUGGCAUAUCUACCCAGUGGGCCUGCUGGGACUCCAGUUACCCGAUGCACAUACAUUGCUUGGUGUGGCAGUUUCGUGUGCAUUUUUGGUGAUGAUGCUCCACGGAACAUCUGCAGAUGUGCUGUCAAUUUGGACAGCUCUGACUACCGAGUGAAUGGGAAGUACUAACGAGAACUGUCUGCUUGGGAACUCCAUGAAGUUCGUGGCUUUUGUGAUUGAAAUAGCAUCAAUAAAAGGUUGACACUGUGGAACAACACAAGCCUGCAUGGACCUGGUUAUCUCUGACCUCGCACCACUCAUGAGACCAUACCUGAGCCCUACUCCACUUUGGCAGAACUGUUGCAUGGCCUCUCUUCAUAUAAUACCUCUCCGUACACCGUACACCGCAGCUCAAAGAAAGGAUAUAUGCUCCCUGUGAAGACUAAUGGAACUGUCCCUCCUGAUCCUCCUACAGACUUCCUCUGGCCUAAUGGGUGCACCAUUGCAUUAUAUCUGCCAUCUAUACACACAUAUACCUUUCAACCCUGCACUCUCUGAGAUGACUGGACUCAUGCCUAAAUAACUGAUGCUGUCCCUAGUGUAAGGAAGCUGCCUGACGAGGAGCUGUACGGAAAUAAGAGUAAUUCAGUGAUGGGGUCCAAGCAUCCUGAAUAUAAGCGGUCCAUGUCAAGAAAGAGCCAAAGGGCGUCCUCAGGACAUGGAAGAGGGGCAUUCCAGGCUGGCAGCUGGGGAGGCCCAGAGAGCCCUGGAGAAGAUCUGAAGUCCAUUGCAGAGCUUUCUUUAAGACUACUGAAUUGUACAGAAGAAGCAGAAAUGAAAAAAAAAUUAAAAAUAUAGAAAUGAUGUAUUUUAAUGAGAUUUAAACAUCUAGGGGAGAGUUUGGGGUGGGAAUGCUGAUAAGUUCAUAGAAAAGUAA